AAGGGUAUAGCUCAGUUGGUAGAGCGGCGGUCUCCAAAACCGCAGGUCGUGGGUUCGAACCCCGCUGCCCUUGCCA
This 76-nucleotide transfer RNA is filed under the name Candidatus Liberibacter saliceti. RNAcentral's name for it is "libe_csal88 tRNA-Trp". It matches the Rfam family "tRNA". Rfam says of the family: Transfer RNA (tRNA) molecules are approximately 80 nucleotides in length. Their secondary structure includes four short double-helical elements and three loops (D, anti-codon, and T loops). The record is from RNAcentral. Lineage: Bacteria; Pseudomonadati; Pseudomonadota; Alphaproteobacteria; Hyphomicrobiales; Rhizobiaceae.